GAGUUUGAUUCUGGCUCAGGAUGAACGCUAGCGAUAGGCUUAACACAUGCAAGUCGAGGGGCAGCAUAGAGUCAGCUUGCUGAUUUGGAUGGCGACCGGCGGAUGGGUGCGUAACGCGUAUGCAACUUACCUGUCAGAGGGGGAUAACCCGGAGAAAUUCGGACUAAUACCGCAUACACUUGAGAUACUGCAUGGUAUUUCAAGGAAAUAUUUAUAGCUGACAGAUAGGCAUGCGUUCCAUUAGCUGGUAGGUGAGGUAACGGCUCACCUAGGCAACGAUGGAUAGGGGAACUGAGAGGUUAAACCCCCACACUGGUACUGAGACACGGACCAGACUCCUACGGGAGGCAGCAGUGAGGAAUAUUGGUCAAUGGGCGAGAGCCUGAACCAGCCAAUUCGCGUGAAGGAUGACUGCCCUAUGGGUUGUAAACUUCUUUAGUAGGGGAUUAAAGUUUGCCUUGCGAGGCAAG
RNAcentral lists this ribosomal RNA (470 nucleotides) under Porphyromonas canoris. RNAcentral describes it as "bacterial SSU rRNA". It matches the Rfam family "Bacterial small subunit ribosomal RNA", at positions 9 to 468 of the family's 1533-position model. The record is from RNAcentral. Lineage: Bacteria; Pseudomonadati; Bacteroidota; Bacteroidia; Bacteroidales; Porphyromonadaceae.